RNAcentral lists this unclassified non-coding RNA (452 nucleotides) under Hevea brasiliensis (rubber tree). The record is from RNAcentral. Lineage: Eukaryota; Viridiplantae; Streptophyta; Magnoliopsida; Malpighiales; Euphorbiaceae.
AUUCAUACCUUCCCAACCAGCUGCAAUAAACAUAAACCGCAUGUCAAAAUCACAUGCACAAGUUAUAAUCCUUUGUGGUGGUUAAGACGCGCCUGCUACUUCUUUCUUUGGAGCUCCCCUUUAUGUAUGUCUCAUCAACAGCGAUGAGUUGUUUUGGUUUAUCAUGUGGAACAUGCAUCUGAAACUAUAGUGUAAGACAAAAGCAGCUAUUAUCCGCCGAUGAAAUGUUUCAAGUUAGAAACCUGUAGGUUCAUAUAUACGCGUGAUAUCCCCAAAGAAGAUAACAACCCAAGCCAUACCAAUCCUGGAUGUAUGUUGCUGUGUGCAAGAUAACGACAUACGUUCUUGGCAAUCUAUUCACACUGAUCAGACACUACAACGUGUACGAUGUAAUCCUCAAUGUCGUGUCUUACUCGGUGCCACUACUGGAUAGGCUAAAAAUUUUCCAUGGA